GACGAACGCUGGCGGCGCGCCUAACACAUGCAAGUCGAACGAAGCACUUCGGUGCUUAGUGGCGGACGGGUGAGUAACACGUGAAGAACCUGCCUUACAGAGGGGGACAACAGUUGGAAACGACUGCUGAUACCGCAUGACACAUUCGGAUGGCAUCACCUGAAUGUCAAAGAUUUUANCGCUGAAAGAUGGCCUCGCGUCUGAUUAGCUAGUUGGUGGGGUAACGGCCCACCAAGGCGACGAUCAGUAGCCGGACUGAGAGGUUGACCGGCCACAUUGGGACUGAGAUACGGCCCAGACUCCUACGGGAGCAGCAGUGGGGAAUAUUGGGCAAUGGACGCAAGUCUGACCAGCAACGCCGCGUGAAGG
Molecule: ribosomal RNA, 369 nt
Filed under: uncultured bacterium
Lineage: Bacteria
Description: bacterial SSU rRNA
Rfam family: Bacterial small subunit ribosomal RNA
Source: RNAcentral